GCUGAACUAAUCAAUUAGCUCAUUUUGUCUGAAGUGAUGUGUAAUUAGGAGAAAGUCCUGCUGCAUUUCAGAAUCAGGGUUUCCUAUCGGCAUUUUCAUAAUCUUAUCAAUUUUGGUGUUAUGUCAACCUUGUAGUGUGUAAAUACCAUCCAGAAAACAGGAAUCAACUGAGCCAUCUGUAAUUAUUGGGACAGUUUCAGACAUGCUCAGGAUGCGGCUGGCCACCCCUGGGAAUGUGAAAGUGCAUGGGGGUAGGAGAGAGGGAGAGAGAUGCAUCCACC
Molecule: long non-coding RNA, 281 nt
Organism: Esox lucius (northern pike)
Lineage: Eukaryota; Metazoa; Chordata; Actinopteri; Esociformes; Esocidae
Exons: 3
Source: RefSeq, a predicted model, not a curated record